This 506-nucleotide ribosomal RNA is filed under the name uncultured bacterium. Its description in RNAcentral is "partial 16S ribosomal RNA". It matches the Rfam family "Bacterial small subunit ribosomal RNA", at positions 29 to 523 of the family's 1533-position model. The record is from RNAcentral.
AGUGAACGCUGGCGGUAGGCCUAACACAUGCAAGUCGAACGGCAGCACCGGAGAGCUUGCUCUCUGGGUGGCGAGUGGCGGACGGGUGAGGAAUACAUCGGAAUCUACUCUGUCGUGGGGGAUAACGUAGGGAAACUUACGCUAAUACCGCAUACGACCUACGGGUGAAAGCAGGGGACCUUCGGGCCUUGCGCGAUUGAAUGAGCCGAUGUCGGAUUAGCUAGUUGGCGGGGUAAAGGCCCACCAAGGCGACGAUCCGUAGCUGGUCUGCGCGGAGGAUCAGCCACACUGGAACUGAGAGACGGUCCAGACUCCUACGGGAGGCAGCAGUGGGGAAUGUUGGAAAAUGGGCCGAAGCCUGAUCCAGGCAUACCGCGUGGGUGGAGGAGGGCUUCGGGUUGUGAGGGCCUUUUGUUGGGAAAGAAAUCCAGCUGGCUAAUACCCGGUUGGCAUGACGGUACCCAAAGAAUAAGCACCGGCUAACUUCGUGCCAGCCGCCGCAGUAA